Molecule: long non-coding RNA, 837 nt
Filed under: Gossypium raimondii (Peruvian cotton)
Lineage: Eukaryota; Viridiplantae; Streptophyta; Magnoliopsida; Malvales; Malvaceae
Description: long non-coding RNA (GRAI_LNC008113)
Source: RNAcentral
CCAUCCAUCUCCCUCUCCCCACCAUCUCUCCCCUACUCUGAUUCUUUCCCUCUCCCCUACCAGUAAAAAUAGCCUAAAAUGUUGGUUUGCAAUCUGUUCUCCGACAAAAGCCUGCCAUCACUUGGAAAAUUGGGUUAGACCCUCUUGGGGUUAAAUCUACAGCAAUGCAAGGCAAUCAACAGUGGUGCAGUUGACCUGCUAGUGGAGAAGCUAUGGAGGUGUGAUAUCCUUUUCUAAACGAUGUUGCAGUAUGGGAUUAUCAACAACUCGGGUUUUGACCCUUCGAGAAGCUUCAAAAUAGCCUUUGUUAGUAUUAGCAGUUUGUGUAGUUUUUGGGUCCAUUAGCUAUGGGUCUUCCAUUAUCUGGUACUUAGUCCCCUUUUCUGGGGAAUACGACCGUUCUCCUUUUUUCUUUUUUACAGGUCUCUUUACAUCAGAGAUUUGUUACCAAGUUUUGAAUCCCAAUCAUGAGUGUUGGUUUCUUCAUGGCUGGAGUUCCCUGAGAAUACAGUCGCUGCUAGGUUCUGGAUUUUAGGGAAUCUUUCCUUCCUUCCUCGUAAAGGUUUUAGUCUGUUGGGUUUCUGGUGUUUUUGCUUAGCAAUGUUCAUUUCUACAUGGGCUAAGCUUUUUGUUAUUUGUCACUGUCUUUUGUCCAUCAUAGUUGGUUUGACCAAGUCUCCCACAUUUUUUAACUCAAAUGUUCUAUACGUGAUGUUGGGUCUUUUUCUUUUCUUACAGUGAGGGAGAGGGAAAGAAUCAGAGUAGGGGAAGAGGGUUAGAAAAGGGACGGUGGGGGAGAGGAAAAGAAUCAGAAUAGGAGGAGGUAUGAUGGGGAGG